AAUACUUGAAGCUGCAGACAUCAGUGUGAGAAGCAAUGCAUGUGGGCUUUCUGACUGAAGCUCUUUGACUCCACCCUUCUUCGAGAAGUCCUAACCUAUACCUGCCAUGUGCCUCUUCUGCUAGGUGGGCAUUUGUUGAAGGAAAAAGUGGAGUAAAAGGUAACAAUUUAUCUAUUGAUUUGGAUAGAAUUGACCGAAAGAUGGCGAGUCAUGGCUUCUAUCCGGUGGUAACCGCCUUCAUGGUAUUGCUGUAAGCUUUGAGACCUGCUUGAUAGUGCCAAGCUUUUGCUACAUCUGUAUAUGUUCAUUAUUUUCAUGUGUAAG
RNAcentral lists this long non-coding RNA (324 nucleotides) under Eucalyptus grandis. Its description in RNAcentral is "long non-coding RNA (EGRA_LNC007415)". Lineage: Eukaryota; Viridiplantae; Streptophyta; Magnoliopsida; Myrtales; Myrtaceae. The record is from RNAcentral.